Mytilus trossulus (common blue mussel) is the source of this 559-nucleotide long non-coding RNA. RefSeq lists it as uncharacterized. The record is from RefSeq and is a predicted model, not a curated record. The transcript has 7 exons. NCBI's taxonomy places the organism in Eukaryota, Metazoa, Mollusca, Bivalvia, Mytilida, Mytilidae.
UGUAUGUAAUUUUUAGACUGCAAAACGAUCUUUGAGAAGUACAUUUGAAAGAUUUGAAAGAUUUCGACGUAGGGAAGUGUAAUUAUUGAAGAAUAAGCAAGCUAACCAAAGUCCUACUCUACAAGCAUUAGGAAAUUAGCUCUUAUUUUCCUGCCCUAAAGGCAAUGCCAUAUGCAAUUAAAAAGAAAUAAGAUGUCAGUUACCUGUUUGAAGUAUGAAGACUCAAAUUUUCUUGAUCAGUGCAAUUUAUCUCCCUUGGAAAUUCAUGGUCAAUGCUGUGUCCAUCACUCGAUCCUGUGUCAUCUUCUGAAAAAUUAAGAAAGAAAAUUUAUUAUCAAAGGUCCACUUUGAGCUUCAUCCACUGUAACAAAGAAUGAAGAUUAAAAUCUUGCAGUGCAAUUUAUCUCCCUUGGAAAUUUAUGUACAAUGCUGUGUCCAUCACUCGAUCCUGUGUCAUCUUCUGGAAAAGUAAAGAAAGCAAAUUUAUUAUCAAAGGUCCACUUUGAGCUUCAUCCACUGAAACAAAGAAUGAAAAUUGAAGUCUUGCAGGUGAAUAUAU